GACGAACGCUGGCGGCGUGCUUAACACAUGCAAGUCGAACGGAAAGGCCCUGCUUUUGUGGGGUGCUCGAGUGGCGAACGGGUGAGUAACACGUGAGUAACCUGCCCUUGACUUUGGGAUAACUUCAGGAAACUGGGGCUAAUACCGGAUAGGAGCUCCUGCUGCAUGGUGGGGGUUGGAAAGUUUCGGCGGUUGGGGAUGGACUCGCGGCUUAUCAGCUUGUUGGUGGGGUAGUGGCUUACCAAGGCUUUGACGGGUAGCCGGCCUGAGAGGGUGACCGGCCACAUUGGGACUGAGAUACGGCCCAGACUCCUACGGGAGGCAGCAGUGGGGAAUAUUGCACAAUGGGCAGAAGCCUGAUGCAGCAACGCCGCGUGCGGGAUGACGGCCUUCGGGUUGUAAACCGCUUUCGCCUGUGACGAAGCGGGAGUGACGGUAAUGGGUAAAGAAGCACCGGCUAACUACGUG
This 468-nucleotide ribosomal RNA is filed under the name uncultured bacterium. RNAcentral describes it as "partial 16S ribosomal RNA". It matches the Rfam family "Bacterial small subunit ribosomal RNA", at positions 28 to 507 of the family's 1533-position model. The record is from RNAcentral.